Zingiber officinale is the source of this 763-nucleotide long non-coding RNA. RefSeq lists it as uncharacterized. The record is from RefSeq and is a predicted model, not a curated record. The transcript has 3 exons. Lineage: Eukaryota; Viridiplantae; Streptophyta; Magnoliopsida; Zingiberales; Zingiberaceae.
CCUAGCUCCUAAACCCGCCGAUCUCUUCCUCCCCGAGCCCUCUCUCUCGCGUGAUUUCCUCACCAAAUCGCCUUCUGUUCUCAGCGCCAAAUCGCGCCGCCGAGCUCUCCUUCCCUCUCCCUCUCGCUUAUCCCCGAAACCGUAGUCGGCGCCUCUCUCACAACCUUGCUUGUCGCCGAUCAUCGAGGCCCGACGCCACGCCAACUGCUGCUGACGCCGAUCCCUUCAUCCGCUGGCCUCUUCUCCUCACGUGAGCACCAAAGCCGCGGCACUUUUUCCCUCGCACGAGCAUCCCUGGACAUCGCCGGCCUCUCCUCACGGGAGCAUCACAGCGGCGAUCCCUCUCCCUCGCACGAGCACAACGGACCACAGCCGUCGAUCCUCUUCUCUUCGUGUCGUGCCCUAACUGGUGAGCAAGUACAUGUCUAUAUGAUGAUGUGGAUUCAUGGGGUAAAGGAUAGGAGCUUGGGAGGGCCUGUUUUCUGCUAGGGUAAGAACAUACGGAUGAGAUUCAGUGUGGAAUUGGAUUUCUCAACGUGGAUGGAGCCGUGGAUGGAGCUUCGGAAUCGAGUUCUUGGUGUCUCUCGCGGGGUUUAAUGGGGACUUUGGCUCGAGACGAGUACUACGAUGCAGGAAUUGUUUAGCUCGAUCUACAUUUAAGGCGGGUACUUCUUGCUUUGUCUCUUUAGUUCUUUGAACUUGGUGCGUGAGCUAUUUUUGGAUAAGGACUGUUUACCUUGACUCCACUCUUACUUUCCUGUGA